UACGAAGGGGGCUAGCGUUGCUCGGAAUUACUGGGCGUAAAGCGCACGUAGGCGGCUUUCUAAGUCGGGGGUGAAAUCCUGGAGCUCAACUCCAGAACUGCCUUCGAUACUGGAGAGCUCGAGUCCGGGAGAGGUGAGUGGAACUGCGAGUGUAGAGGUGAAAUGCGCAGAUAUCAGGAGGAACACCAGUGGCGAAGGCGGUUCUCUGGGCCUUACCUGACGCUGAGGAGCGAAGGCGUGGGGAGCAAACAGG
RNAcentral lists this ribosomal RNA (253 nucleotides) under uncultured bacterium. Its description in RNAcentral is "partial 16S ribosomal RNA". It matches the Rfam family "Bacterial small subunit ribosomal RNA", at positions 524 to 776 of the family's 1533-position model. The record is from RNAcentral.